Myotis lucifugus (little brown bat) is the source of this 395-nucleotide RNA transcript. It is a transcript of the gene named death-associated protein 1 pseudogene, with no coding region annotated. NCBI's taxonomy places the organism in Eukaryota, Metazoa, Chordata, Mammalia, Chiroptera, Vespertilionidae. The transcript has a single exon. The record is from RefSeq and is a predicted model, not a curated record.
GCCACCUCCGCUGCCAUCCCAGCCGCUCUGGUCGCACCAUGUCUUCGCCUCCCGAGGAGAAGCAAGAGACGAAAGCUGGACACCCACCCUCUGUGAAAGCUGGUGGAAUGCGAAUCGUGCAGAAACACCCGCAUUCUGGAGACACCAAAGAAGAGAAAGACAAGGAUGAGGAGGAGUGGGAGACCGAGCCCAGCCCGCCUAAACCCACCAUGUACAUCUCCUGUGUCAUCGCCCGGAGCGACACGGACUUCCACCCGGCGGCCGCCCAGGUGGCUCACCAGAAGCCCCACGCCUCUAUGGACAAGUACCUGUCCCAUAGAACCCAGCACAUCCAGCAGCCUCGCAAGUGACCACGAGGACCCAGCGCCCUCCCCUGCCGUGCCUGGUUCCCGACA